This 429-nucleotide ribosomal RNA is filed under the name uncultured marine bacterium. RNAcentral describes it as "bacterial SSU rRNA". It matches the Rfam family "Bacterial small subunit ribosomal RNA", at positions 360 to 804 of the family's 1533-position model. The record is from RNAcentral.
AAUUUUCCGCAAUGGGCGCAAGCCUGACGGAGCAAUACCGCGUGAGGGAGGAAGGCUUUUGGGUUGUAAACCUCUUUUCUCAAGGAAGAAGACCUGACGGUACUUGAGGAAUCAGCAUCGGCUAACUCCGUGCCAGCAGCCGCGGUAAUACGGAGGAUGCAAGCGUUAUUCGGAAUUAUUGGGCGUAAAGCGUCCGCAGGUGGUGCCUCAAGUCUGCUGUCAAAGACCGAAGCUCAACUUCGGGCAGGCAGUGGAAACUGAAGCACUAGAGUACGGUAGGGGUAGAGGGAAUUUCCAGUGUAGCGGUGAAAUGCGUAGAGAUUGGAAAGAACACCAGUGGCGAAGGCGCUCUACUGGACCGUAACUGACACUCAGGGACGAAAGCUAGGGUAGCGAAAGGGAUUAGAUACCCCUGUAGUCUUAGCUGUA